GGUCUGCCAUGAUGAACUGUAUGUUCAGUCGAUCUUUCAUCUGAUCCACCCUGAUGCCACAUGUGCCCUCAGCAGACC
This is a small nucleolar RNA of Gopherus evgoodei (Goodes thornscrub tortoise), 78 nucleotides long. Lineage: Eukaryota; Metazoa; Chordata; Testudines; Testudinidae. The record is from Ensembl.